GGAAAAGCAAUGAAUAUGUGGGCAAAAGGGUGAAGACAAAGAGAGGGAAGCCAAAGAGGAAGUGGAUGGAUAAAGUAGAAGAACAUCUGAAGAAAUAGGGUUUGACUGGAAAAAAGGUGCAGGACCAAGCUGUUUGGAGAUGGUUGAUCAAGCACAUCGACCUCACAUAGCAGUGGUAAAAAGAUAAAGAGGAAGAAGAAGUUAAAACAUAUUAUUUGUAUAACAUAGAAAAUAUUAGAGUGUGACCAUUUUUUACACUUAACUUCUCAAUGUCAACAAUACAUAGACGUUAUGGCCAAGAUUUAAAAAAGAACAACUACUUUGUUUCUGUUUAUCUUUGCAGAAGAAGUGACUGAAGUGAAAGAAGAGGAGGUUACAGAGGUGACCGAAGAAGAAGUUACUGAAGUAAAAGAAGAGGAAGUUACAGAAGCGACACAGGAGGAAGUUACUGAAGUGACUCAAGAGGGGGUUUCAGAAGAGACUUAAGGACUAACAGACUUAGACACAACACUUUGACGCUGGCCUGAAGAAUCACCCCAGUGACUGGACUUGCGACUGUUUCGAACUGAUAGGACACACUCACUUCCAAAGGAACUCUCUGAAGACUUUUGAAAUAAUGGAGAAUCAUUGUGGAAAAUGGUUUUCAUUAUUAUUUGAAAAACAUAUACCCACAGCUCAAAUUCUCUUCUGUCUCCUGGGAAUGUUUUGGAAAUUACUGUUUUGAAGACAUGGAGCAUUGUAUAUUUUAAAAUUCAUUAUAACAUUCAUAAAAGUGGAUUUUCCUAGCACUUGGACCCCAGCUCAGUUUCUGGUCAUUUUCUAUGUAGAAUAUGCAGGUCGAUUGACUUCUGUACUUGAACAUUGGACUCUGGAUAAGAGUGAAUGUUUGACAUAUAAGCUACUGUACAGAAGAGCUGAGAAGCAUCUUAUUACAGCACCUUUUUGAAAGGUCAGGCACUUAGAUCUUCUGGUUUAAGGAUUCAGUAUUGAAAAUGAAAAGUGUUCCCAUUACAGUACAUUUAAAACAGGUUGUGUCCAGCAUGCUUGGCAUGGCACACCCCACCUUAUAUAGAAUGGCUGACUUGGCAGUUACUUAUUAAUUGUAAUCAGGAAUUAUUUAAGAGUCAUUCACCCCCAAAUUACUUUUGACAGUUCCUAAAAUCUCAUUUUCCUUACCAAAACCCUAAAGUAGCCAAUGAUUAAACCAGAGGUGGGUAAGCGGCCCACCUACCUUUGUCAUUGGCCCAUCCUAUAACUUUGCUUUUUCAUUUUUUUUUCUUCAAAUAAAAAUUAGCAUAUAUUGUAUAUAAUGCUGGUCAAAGCCCAUUUGUAGCCCUAGAUGGGAUUAACGUGUGUCAGAUCUUGUUAAAAUCCAUGGUGUAUGCAUAAAGGGGUGCCAUCGAUGUUGCCCCUCAUUGCCUAUAGCAGGUAGUCAGUAUUAGUAGACUUGGAUGAGCUUCAAAAGCACUAACGUGCCUAUUGGUGUACAGAGUGUGGGCAUUUAUACUUUCAUAAACUGGGCCUAUUCAAUAUUAUCAGAGUUUGAAGUCCAGAGCUCCUUUGUGUUAACUCAGUUCUCCCCCUCAGUGUCUGGAGUGUGUGCCCCUUAACUUGCGUAAAUUACACUCCUCAAAUGACGGAGCACUAGGCGACAACCUAUGUCUCCUAAUGGAUCGACUGGCUCUGACUGCAUAUUGCACUUUCACUGUAAUACACAUCUCCUUUGAUUAAAAUAUCUUACAGAGCAAAAUUACCAGUGGUAGCUUUAUCACCACAAAAGUUCAUGUAACUCUUACAAAAAAUAUUUUGAAAAGCGCAUAUUUGAAUGGCAAUUAUACAGCGUAACAAUGUUUAUAAAAUAAGAGUGACUUAAAAUGUUGCCAAUCACAGCUACUCAGACGUGUCUUUAACAGGAGGCUAUGGCUGCAUUCCAUUUACCUCAGAUAUUGGAGCACAAAAAAGGUUUUCCAGGAUGUGUCAAUAUUGAUUUUCCAAAUGUUGUACUAGAACAUGGUCAACUCGGGUGUGAUGCCAUUCGCAGCUCCGACAUCUGACUUGCAAGGUAAAUGGAAUGCAGUUUUACAUAUUUGGAGUUACUUAGCCGUCCCAUUGAGUUGAUUUGUAUGAUUUACUGUUGUUGUUUAAAAAGAAUGAACUGUUUGCAAAUCAUGAGUUACCUUUGAGUUGGGUCUUGUUGGAAGGAAAUGCAAAUGAGGUCUUAACAAAGAGCCGUUUUAUGUUUUACCAGUAACGGCGUACUGCACGAUAACAUGCAGUGAAUAUACUUGACUUGAGCAUUCCUAG
This is a long non-coding RNA of Polypterus senegalus (gray bichir), 2304 nucleotides long. RefSeq lists it as uncharacterized. The transcript is spliced from 7 exons. The record is from RefSeq and is a predicted model, not a curated record. Lineage: Eukaryota; Metazoa; Chordata; Cladistia; Polypteriformes; Polypteridae.